GAAGCCUCCAGAAAGAAAGCCAAUUCAAGAUGAACAAAACUGUGCCACUGAGUAAGAUGAAAAACAGGGUGCAAGAGGAAAGCACCUCAAAAAGAGGAGAGAAGUAAUUGAGACUCCUGCAAAUAACAUGCUUAGAGAAGCAGAAUUGCAGGAAAUAAGUAUUUACCAGGCUACCAGGCAAAUAAAUGUUUUCGGAGGAUCUGCAGAAUAAAUAUGUGUCCCUCACCUAAAAAAGAGGGUAAUGGCAGGACAGCCCACCAGGAUGUCAGUCUGAAGGAGAAUGUUUACAGCUCCUGUACCCCAGCAACUGUUUCUUGAGGCAGGCUUUCCAAAGCCAUUGAGCAGCUGCCGUUCUGAGCCACGUCAACUGGUCCUACAGAAACCCAUGACAGCUCCAAUGAUGUAUGGGCCUGGAAUGGAAAAACCAAGCCUUUCAUGUUCAAAGCAUAUCUGACAGGUCUAGUGGAGGCUCUCAGCCUACUGGUGCUGUGCCUUGAGUUUUAUUAUUGUUGUUAUUAUCUUCCUGCUCAUAGAUAAUGUAAUAAUUUACAGUCAGGCAUUGUAUGACCUGAAUGAUUGAUGUCACUUGGGCAUGAAUAACCAUUUCUGUAGGUUUAAUAAUGAACUCCUAACAAGACACAGCAUGGGGGAAAACUCACUCAUAAAAGCGGCCUCUCUUUUGAUAUCCUGCUCAAGACAGAAAGCUGAAGUUUCUAGAACCUGUGGCUCAUGCGUUCCUGAGAUGCUAAAACAAUCACUUGAUGUACAGGGGAAAUAUGGACUAGUGCACAGACUCACUAGUGAAAACUAAUGUCACGCUCCCUUAUUUCAAACCUAGGAACUAGAGUCAUAGUACAUGGGGACAUGAGCAUGCCCCCAUCUUUAUUUUUAGCAGCAGCAUGUUGACUUGUUUUUGUAAAUAAGAGUGUUUUCACUGUUUUAUAUUUAUACUAAGGGUGGAAGGACAUUCUAAUAUUCUGGACAGUAAGAGGACAUUACAGAGAUUCCCUCAAAGUGAGCUGUGAUCCACUAGUAGGUUAUUGCCUUACAAAGAUCCUGUGGACUCUACAUAAUAUACACUGCACUCACUUUUAAUAUUGUUGUUGUACCACUCCUCAGAAAAACCCAAAGAGAAUAACUGUUCAGGUCAGUGUGAGUCUUAAGGCUUGGACACUGUGUGCUGUUAAAAUGUCUCAUUUGUCUGAGAUAGUUUAUUUCAGUAAAUAACAGCAUUUCUGUACUGUUGAUGCUUUUCACAUCUGUCUUUUCUAAUUGCCAGCAGAUUUUAGUUUUGAGGUGGGGUAUUUUUUAAGUACAUGAACAAAGGCUGCAUUGUUGUUGAUGUUUUCUUAUGACACUGUAAAUUAUAAGGGCAGUUCUUGAAACUUUUGCAAAUUCUACAAGAACCCCAGAGUAAAAUGAUAUUUUAUAAUUAGUGAUGGGUGAAUUUCAUAAGGAUCAGGAGUUUGCAUGAAGCACUGCUGAAGCACUGAAAAGUUGAUGCUUCUCCAAAGCUUACCUGAACUAUCAGAACCCAUUAGGUUUAUAAAAUGGGUUGGAAAUCUCACACAAGGAUUUCUGAAGAGGUUUGGUUACUUCCAGCAUCCAAUUAAGCUGUAAAUACUAUUCUUCAGAGGGUGCAAAUCAACAUAACAAAGUCAAUGGAGCUACACCAAUUUAGAUCAGCCAAGGAUCUGGCCUAGAACAGAAUUUCUUAUUCUGUUCUACCACAAGCUACUUAAGAUGGAAUCGAUAAAUGCAACAGUAGACAGUGAAGAAAAAAACAAAAGCUCUGUCUGGAUGGAUGCAAAGUUAUUUUAUUGUCUUUCUACUUAUAGUCAGCAAGAUUGUGCUUUCCCCUAUACCUCCUAAAUCCCCCGAGCAUGCUACAUGCCAAACAGAUCCCAGUGCCGGAGAGCAGUCAACACAGGUGACCAGGCACUGGACACAGACCCCACUCCAACAUGCCAAUCCCAUGGCUCAGUAAGCAUGGAGGGAGAUGUCAUGUAUUGGUAUAGACCAGUAAAAGAUUAACAAAAAGACUGCCAAAUAAGUCUCAGAGUUACCCCUCCCAGAGUCUGCCCCUAACUCAAGGCAGUCUAAAUUUAGAACCUAGCCCAAUUUUAGCAGUUUAGACAAGUUAUACUAUAUAAUGCUUGAGUACCAAACAAUGACAGCCAGUGAAAACAUGCACAUUUUACAUCCAACAGUGUAUAACUGUCUUUCUUCCUGCACUGACUUAAUUUUUUUAUUCAUCUGAUAAAAGGUAAUUUGAAAAUGUUUUCUAGAAUAUAGAACAUCAAAUGAU
Long non-coding RNA from Mauremys mutica (yellowpond turtle), 2308 nucleotides. RefSeq lists it as uncharacterized. Lineage: Eukaryota; Metazoa; Chordata; Testudines; Geoemydidae. The record is from RefSeq and is a predicted model, not a curated record. The transcript has 3 exons.